GAACUUAAAACCUCCUUUAAACACAAAGGCUUGGUCCCGACCUUAAAAUCAACUUUUACUUAACUUACACAUGCAAGUCUCCGCACCCCCGUGAAAAUGCCCUAACCCCCUUAAAACAAGGAAGAGGAGCCGGUAUCAGGCACAACAAUUUACCCAAGACACCUAGCAACGCCACACCCACAAGGGUCCUCAGCAGUGAUAAACAUUGAUUAUAAGUGCAAACUUGACUCAGCUAAAGUAAACAGAGUCGGCAAAUAUGGUGCCAGCCGCCGCGGUUACACCACAGACUCAAAUUGAUUUCUCUCGGCAUAAAACGUGAUUUAAGUCAUUAACCCAUUGGAAUUAAACCCUCCCUAAGCUGUGACAUGCUUGAAACAGGGAAAAUCAAACACGAAAGUUACUCCAACCUUUCCACCUUGAAUUCACGAAAAUUUGGAUACAAACUAGGAUUAGAUACCCUACUAUGCCAUUUAGUAAAUUCUUACCUCAUCGCCAGGGUACUACGAGCAAAGCUUAAAACCCAAAGGACUUGACGGUACCCCACAUCCUUCUAGAGGAGCCUGUCCUAUAAUUGAUUAUCCCCGCUUAACCUCACCACUCUUAGCUUAUCAGCCUGUAUACUUCCGUCGUCAACUUACCGCGUGAGCGACCACUAGCGAGUUCAAUGCUUACUAACCAAUACGUCAGGUCAAGGUGCAGCAAAUAAAGUGGAAAAAGAUGGGCUACACUUUCUAACAUAGAAAAUACGGAAGACUACGUGAAAUCUCAUUAGAAGGCGGAUUUAGUAGUAAAAAGAAAAUAGAGUGUUCUUUUUAAUUUGGCCCUGGGGUAUGUACACACCGCCCGUCACCCUCUUCGCAAGACAAACAAUAGUAAAUAACAACCCCUAUAGCAGUAGAAGAGGCAAGUCGUAACAAGGUAAGUGUACCGGAAGGUGUACUUGGAAACGAAACAU
Molecule: non-coding RNA, 955 nt
Filed under: Oreobates pereger (Ayacucho Andes frog)
Lineage: Eukaryota; Metazoa; Chordata; Amphibia; Anura; Strabomantidae
Description: partial 12S ribosomal RNA
Rfam family: Bacterial small subunit ribosomal RNA
Source: RNAcentral